Molecule: ribosomal RNA, 498 nt
Filed under: uncultured bacterium
Lineage: Bacteria
Description: bacterial SSU rRNA
Rfam family: Bacterial small subunit ribosomal RNA
Source: RNAcentral
GGCUCAGGAUGAACGCUAGCGGCAGGCUUAACACAUGCAAGUCAGGGGCAGCAUGAGACGGAGAUUCGUCGAAGUCUUGAUGGCGACCGGCGCAAGGGUGCGUAACGCGUGAGCAACUUGCCCGUUUCAGGGGGAUAACCGGUGGAAACGCCGACUAAUACCCCAUAGUAUGUUUUUAAGGCAUCUUUGAAACAUUAAAGAAUUUCGGAAACGGAUAGGCUCGCGUGACAUUAACUAGAUGGUGAGGUAACGGCUCACCAUGGCGACGAUGUCUAGGGGUUCUGAGAGGAAGGUCCCCCACACUGGAACUGAGACACGGUCCAGACUCCUACGGGAGGCAGCAGUGAGGAAUAUUGGUCAAUGGUCGAAGGACUGAACCAGCCAUGCCGCGUGAAGGUGACGGCCCUAUGGGUCUUAAACUUCUUUUGUAAGGGAGCAAUAAGGCUUACGUGUAAGCUGAUGAGAGUACCUUACGAAUAAGCAUCGGCUAACUCCGUG